UACGUAGGGUGCAAGCGUUGUCCGGAAUUAUUGGGCGUAAAGAGCUCGUAGGCGGUCUGUCGCGUCUGCUGUGAAAACCUGGGGCUUAACCCCGGGCCUGCAGUGGGUACGGGCAGACUAGAGUGUGGUAGGGGAGACUGGAAUUCCUGGUGUAGCGGUGAAAUGCGCAGAUAUCAGGAGGAACACCAGUAGCGAAGGCAGCUCGCUGGGACGUUACUGACACUGAGGCGCGAAAGCGUGGGGAGCGAACAGG
This 253-nucleotide ribosomal RNA is filed under the name uncultured bacterium. Its description in RNAcentral is "partial 16S ribosomal RNA". It matches the Rfam family "Bacterial small subunit ribosomal RNA", at positions 524 to 776 of the family's 1533-position model. The record is from RNAcentral.